This 500-nucleotide ribosomal RNA is filed under the name uncultured bacterium. RNAcentral's name for it is "partial 16S ribosomal RNA". It matches the Rfam family "Bacterial small subunit ribosomal RNA", at positions 30 to 523 of the family's 1533-position model. The record is from RNAcentral.
AUUGAACGCUGGCGGAAUGCUUUACACAUGCAAGUCGAACGGCAGCACGGACUUCGGUCUGGUGGCGAGUGGCGAACGGGUGAGUAAUGUAUCGGAACGUGCCCAGUCGUGGGGGAUAACGUAGUGAAAAUUACGCUAAUACCGCAUACGAUCUAUGGAUGAAAGCGGGGGAUCGCAAGACCUCGCGCGAUUGGAGCGGCCGAUAUCAGAUUAGGUAGUUGGUGGGGUAAAGGCCUACCAAGCCAACGAUCUGUAGCUGGUCUGAGAGGACGACCAGCCGUACGGGAACUGGUGCACGGUCCAGACUCCUACGGGAGGCAGCAGUGGGGAAUUUUGGACAAUGGGCGGAAGCCUGAUCAAGCCAUUCCGCGUGCAGGAUGAAGGCCCUCGGGUUGUAAACUGCUUUUGUACAGAACGAAAAGGUUUCUACUAAUACUAGGAGCUCAUGACGGUACUGUAAGAAUAAGCACCGGCUAACUACGUGCCAGCCGCCGCGGUAA